AGAGGUACUUCCCCAACUCGUUAGGAGCACUGGGAUCUGCUAGACGCAACAACCUAGCAAUGAUAGGUUGUUGGGUCAAGCUAGUUGAGUCAUUGAAUCUUGACUGAUCCCUCUUCCUCAGGUUUGAAGCAGAUCAAACUUCAGCUCAAACCAUCACAAUGCUUUAAUUGGGAAGUCCUAAUUAGAGAACUGGCAAUCAAGCUUUCCUCCAAUCUCAAUGUCCCUUGAGAUCAUGUGAGAUGAUCAAACUCGGGUUUUCUGAGGAAUUAUGGGAAUUGGAGUCCAACGGGCUCCAAGAUGGGAGAUGUUACUGCAGAUGAAUUAAUUUAUCAUGAGGGGCAUUCAACCUCUUUCUCUCUGGCUUUGUUUGCCCAACAUACCUCCUUACUAACCCAUAUGAGCCGAAUUCACACAACACGUUAAGCUAAACUGCGAUUUGGUUAACUGUUUAUGGUUCAGAUGUUACGUGAAUGUCAUUUUUCUCUUUUUCAGAGUGGUCAGUCUCUACAAAGAGGACGAACCCAACGUCUACACCGAGCCAGCAGUCUUCUCCCAGGUGUUAUUACCCUUUCUACUCCAACUGGUCGAGAAUGCGUCCAUUUCUCAAAAACUUUGCGAGUCGAUACAAUCUUGGCUAGAAACCACUGGAGCUGGAAUCGUCUCCACCAUACAAUUCUGUAAACAGUGGUGGAGUCAAGAGGACAUCCCUUGCCUGCAUCUCAAGGCUUUGUCCUGUCCUGACGUACAUUCUGCGAUUGCGGCGCUGUUGGUGAAAGCUAUCCUUGUGGCCCACGUUCUGAAGAUCUUGGAAACCCAGAACCAGCCCAACUGCACCCCAGGAAUUAGUGUCUCCUCCCAGGAGCUCAGCUGCACCAUUCAUUCCUUAAAGGACCUGCUCCGUCGGCGUGGAAUAGCUAUUAUGGUUAAGAUGGAACCAGAGCAAGCAAGACUAGAAGAAAACUAGUUAAGCACCAAGGAAUUUUAAUAAAACUUUGGUUUUUGUUUUAAAAACA
RNAcentral lists this long non-coding RNA (1013 nucleotides) under Notechis scutatus (mainland tiger snake). Its description in RNAcentral is "lncRNA (ENSNSUG00000006117.1)". Lineage: Eukaryota; Metazoa; Chordata; Lepidosauria; Squamata; Elapidae. The record is from RNAcentral.